This 305-nucleotide ribosomal RNA is filed under the name uncultured bacterium. Its description in RNAcentral is "bacterial SSU rRNA". It matches the Rfam family "Bacterial small subunit ribosomal RNA", at positions 337 to 640 of the family's 1533-position model. The record is from RNAcentral.
GCCUACGGGACGCAGCAGUGAGGAAUAUUGGUCAAUGGUCGGGAGACUGAACCAGCCAAGCCGCGUGAGGGAUGAAGGUACUGAGUAUCGUAAACCUCUUUUGUCAGGGAACAAAGGCGGGGACGUGUCCCCGGAUGAGUGUACCUGAAGAAAAAGCAUCGGCUAACUCCGUGCCAGCAGCCGCGGUAAUACGGAGGAUGCGAGCGUUAUCCGGAUUUAUUGGGUUUAAAGGGUGCGCAGGCGGUCUGUUAAGUCAGCGGUCAAAGCCCGGGGCUCAACCCCGGCCCGCCGUUGAAACUGGCAGU